GACGAACGCUGGCGGCGUGCCUAAUACAUGCAAGUAGAACGCUGAAGAGAGGAGCUUGCUUUUCUUGGAUGAGUUGCGAACGGGUGAGUAACGCGUAGGUAACCUGCCUUGUAGCGGGGGAUAACUAUUGGAAACGAUAGCUAAUACCGCAUAACAAUGGAUGACCCAUGUCAUUUAUUUGAAAGGGGCAAAUGCUCCACUACAAGAUGGACCUGCGUUGUAUUAGCUAGUAGGUGAGGUAACGGCUCACCUAGGCGACGAUACAUAGCCGACCUGAGAGGGUGAUCGGCCACACUGGGACUGAGACACGGCCCAGACUCCUACGGGAGGCAGCAGUAGGGAAUCUUCGGCAAUGGGGGCAACCCUGACCGAGCAACGCCGCGUGAGUGAAGAAGGUUUUCGGAUCGUAAAGCUCUGUUGUAAGUCAAGAACGAGUGUGAGAGUGGAAAGUUCACACUGUGACGGUAGCUUACCAGAAAGGGACGGCUAACUACGUGCCAGCAGCCGCGGUAAUACGUAGGUCCCGAGCGUUGUCCGGAUUUAUUGGGCGUAAAGCGAGCGCAGGCGGUUUGAUAAGUCUGAAGUUAAAGGCUGUGGCUCAACCAUAGUUCGCUUUGGAAACUGUCAAACUUGAGUGCAGAAGGGGAGAGUGGAAUUCCAUGUGUAGCGGUGAAAUGCGUAGAUAUAUGGAGGAACACCGGUGGCGAAAGCGGCUCUCUGGUCUGUAACUGACGCUGAGGCUCGAAAGCGUGGGGAGCGAACAGGAUUAGAUACCCUGGUAGUCCACGCCGUAAACGAUGAGUGCUAGGUGUUGGAUCCUUUCCGGGAUUCAGUGCCGCAGCUAACGCAUUAAGCACUCCGCCUGGGGAGUACGACCGCAAGGUUGAAACUCAAAGGAAUUGACGGGGGCCCGCACAAGCGGUGGAGCAUGUGGUUUAAUUCGAAGCAACGCGAAGAACCUUACCAGGUCUUGACAUCCCGAUGCUAUUUCUAGAGAUAGAAAGUUACUUCGGUACAUCGGUGACAGGUGGUGCAUGGUUGUCGUCAGCUCGUGUCGUGAGAUGUUGGGUUAAGUCCCGCAACGAGCGCAACCCCUAUUGUUAGUUGCCAUCAUUCAGUUGGGCACUCUAGCGAGACUGCCGGUAAUAAACCGGAGGAAGGUGGGGAUGACGUCAAAUCGUCAUGCCCCUUAUGACCUGGGCUACACACGUGCUACAAUGGUUGGUACAACGAGUUGCGAGUCGGUGACGGCAAGCUAAUCUCUUAAAGCCAAUCUCAGUUCGGAUUGUAGGCUGCAACUCGCCUACAUGAAGUCGGAAUCGCUAGUAAUCGCGGAUCAGCACGCCGCGGUGAAUACGUUCCCGGGCCU
Molecule: ribosomal RNA, 1369 nt
Filed under: uncultured bacterium
Lineage: Bacteria
Description: bacterial SSU rRNA
Rfam family: Bacterial small subunit ribosomal RNA
Source: RNAcentral